This is a long non-coding RNA of Gallus gallus (chicken), 872 nucleotides long. NCBI's taxonomy places the organism in Eukaryota, Metazoa, Chordata, Aves, Galliformes, Phasianidae. The record is from Ensembl.
GUUGAACCUUCCCACCAAUAUUCUGUUCCAUGUUGUUGCUGUGCGACAGAUGGCAGCAGAGGGGCAGUCUGACAACAUGGUGUCUGACAUGGAAGUGCAUAUGAAGAAAAGGUUUUCUGCUUCAAGCCUUUAAAUGUCAUGAAGAAGCAGCAAGAUGGCAUCGCUGCCUCCAACAAGUCCUCCUCCCAAAUCCUCAGAGAGAUGAAAAAGUGCUGCCUGUUGCCCAGGAGCAGACAGAGCAAGGAGACUUUUCAUACUAAAAAUUGAUGCAAAACAGCGAGCCACAGUGUCACAAAACAGAUUUGACAGCUCAAGGUUUUAAUUACUGUUUACAGCUAGAGAGCGGACAAAGCAAGCUCCAGGCAAGUCCAGGAGUUGCUUGCAUUUUAUUCAUGCUAGAAAAGAACAGAUUCUCUCACAACCGUCCCACUCAGACUUCUUCAUUUUGCUUACCAUGUGCCCAUGAUCACCUGGCCAAAUUUGCAACAAGCAUACUUCUGAGCUUGAGGGAGAGAUGGAGUAUUCUGGAAAUGGCUGUGGUGCCAAUGCUUGCCAUUAACCUUUCAUCACCACCAUUCAUUUCUGCUGAAAUUUCCUCUAAGAUGUGCACAGUUGGCCUCAGCCAUCAGCUUCACCAAUGUCACCGCCGGCUCUGCUGAAUCCUGGACCAUUCUGAAGUAGAGUUUAGCGCUGACGUUUCCCUGGUUCAUGGCUAAGCAGCUCUGGUACUGUUCUGCUCCACUCCCAGCUGAAACACAAGCUGGUUUGGGAUCCUCACGCAAGGCUUGAAAUGUCAGACAGAACGUGCUCUUUGUGGGCACGUGUGGCUGCAGGUUUUACCACGGUUGUCUCUGGAUAUGAGCAAAGACAAG